CGCUACAGCCACAUUAUCCUGCAGCCCAUGACUGGUUACUCGCUGAAGGUAAGCAGGGCUGAGCCUGGUUAGUCCUGGAUGUGAGACCACAUUGAAAAACUAGGUUUCUAUUGGAA
Molecule: ribosomal RNA, 116 nt
Filed under: Danio rerio (zebrafish)
Lineage: Eukaryota; Metazoa; Chordata; Actinopteri; Cypriniformes; Danionidae
Source: RNAcentral